UACGAAGGGUGCAAGCGUUACUCGGAAUUACUGGGCGUAAAGCGUGCGUAGGUGGUUUGUUAAGUCUGAUGUGAAAGCCCUGGGCUCAACCUGGGAAUUGCAUUGGAUACUGGCAGGCUAGAGUGCGGUAGAGGGUAGUGGAAUUCCCGGUGUAGCAGUGAAAUGCGUAGAGAUCGGGAGGAAUAUCUGUGGCGAAGGCGACUACCUGGACCAGCACUGACACUGAGGCACGAAAGCGUGGGGAGCAAACAGG
This 253-nucleotide ribosomal RNA is filed under the name uncultured bacterium. Its description in RNAcentral is "partial 16S ribosomal RNA". It matches the Rfam family "Bacterial small subunit ribosomal RNA", at positions 524 to 776 of the family's 1533-position model. The record is from RNAcentral.